GGAAUAUUGCGCAAUGGGCGAAAGCCUGACGCAGCGACGCCGCGUGGGGGAUGAAGGUCUUCGGAUUGUAAACCCCUUUCGGGAGGGAAGAUGGAGCGAGCAAUCGUUCGGACGGUACCUCCAGAAGCAGCCACGGCCAACUUCGUGCCAGCAGCCGCGGUAAUACGAAGGUGGCAAGCGUUGUUCGGAUUCACUGGGCGUACAGGGUUGGUAGGCGGUUGGGUAUGCCUUCUGUUAAAGCUUCGGGCCCAACCCGGAAAGCGCAGAGGGGACUGCCAGGCUAGAGGGUGGGAGAGGAGCGCGGAAUUCCCGGUGUAGCGGUGAAAUGCGUAGAGAUCGGGAGGAAGGCCGGUGGCGAAGGCGGCGCUCUGGAACAUACCUGACGCUGAGACACGAAAGCGUGGGGAGCAA
This 411-nucleotide ribosomal RNA is filed under the name uncultured bacterium. RNAcentral's name for it is "bacterial SSU rRNA". It matches the Rfam family "Bacterial small subunit ribosomal RNA", at positions 358 to 771 of the family's 1533-position model. The record is from RNAcentral.